Tyto alba (common barn owl) is the source of this 3459-nucleotide long non-coding RNA. RefSeq lists it as uncharacterized. NCBI's taxonomy places the organism in Eukaryota, Metazoa, Chordata, Aves, Strigiformes, Tytonidae. The transcript has 2 exons. The record is from RefSeq and is a predicted model, not a curated record.
GUAUGUAACAGAGCAAUAUAAGCCUUGGUUGAGGUAAGGUACGGCGGACAUGUUAGGUGGAACGAUUCCCUCGUGUCCCCGGCUGAAUAAAGCAAUGCCUGCUCGUUAAUGCUAAACCCAGCGUUAAGGAGUUUUCAUUCCCGAUUUCGGUGACAAUUUGGUGACUCCGGUGGGACACUGCCUGAAGCUCAAUGGAUUCACGGGAUCGCGAGGACUCCGGCACCACUGAAGUGUUUUUCGGGGAGAUCCUCCGAUCCCCUGAUCCGCCUCCCCGCUGACCUCGGACGUUCCAGUGCCUCCCUAUCAUCCAGGAGACUCAGUAUACAUCAGGACCUGGAAUAAUGAGCCUCUUAAAGAAAAGUGGAAAAGACCAUUUCAAGUUCUCCUGACCACCCACACAGCAGUCAAAGCUGAAAGGCUUGAACUGUGGAUACUUUUCACUCAGGUGAAACCAGCCCCACCGCUGGAGGGACCUCAGCGGAGAGUGGGAUCGGCAGAGUGUCUGUGACGAGACUAACAAAAAGAUGAGGACAUUUCUCACACUAUGUAUUCUGGGAUGGGGUGUAGUGGGGAUAGAGCCCAUAAUUGAUGGAGACGGUCAUGACAAUGCAUAUGAAAAUCUGGAAGUUAAUUUUGCACAGACAGUGAAUAUGACUGAUUGUUGGAUUUGCUCACAGGUAAUGACAGGGUGGACGGGAGUUCCCUGGAGAAUUUUUCCCUUAGGAUGGCCAGAAUUAUGUUUAGGAUUUAAAUAUAGAGCCACAGUAAGUAUAACACCCUGAUCAAUAAUUCUAGUUUAGUGAUACUGACUUCCCACAACCAAACUACACUCCUUACGAGAAACCACAGCCUAUAAUCAUUCUAGGCCAUACACAAGAGGGAAUCUUUUGUUACCAAGCAGGUAAAGAAACUGUAACCAGUAACAGUAUAAUUUUAAAUUGGUGUAAUGUCAACAAUAAUACCAGAGUUCACAAUCCUAAAAUUACCAGUGGAUUAAGAGAACCCAUGGAGUGUUGGAAAUAGUACCUGUAAAUAUUACAUUACUAUGUCCAGUAAUGCCACAGUGGAAAACGACUUACCUGGGAAAAAUGUAACUAUAGGAAUGGAUGGUUUUAUAUUUGCCAUGUGGAAAAAUAGAAGCAUAGCCUUUGGAUCCUGGGCGGGGACUUAUUGGAUAUGUGGAGAUAAUGCAUACGAAUGACUUCCUCCAGGCUGGUGUGGCUCCUGUUAUACGGGUUUGCUAGCCUCACUCUUCUGGAUAUGAAAAAAAACCCCACUGAGCGGGCUUCUUAGGCAAAAGACUGAUAGACACCAGCGACCAUCCUGUAAUUACCGAAGGAGCUAGGUUUUGGUAUGUAACGUGCCCCAUGUGUGCUGUGGGAAAAUAUGGAACUUACAUAAACAAAUUGAGUAUCCUGGUCAAGCACCUGGCUAACCCUAUGGUCAAAGUGUUAAAUAGCACCUCCUUUGAGUUAUUACAAGUUAGGAUGGUAACCUUGCAAAACAGAAUGGCCUUAGCUUAUCUACUAGCCAGUCAAGGGGGUGCCUGUGCUAUAACUGGAAAAGAGUUUUGUACGUACAUAGCUGACGGUUUCAAAAUCCAACAGUCAGGCAUAUCAUCUAUUGAAAAGGCAAUACAAGAAUGGGAAAAGAUGAAAAAACAAUCAUGGUGGGAUUGGCUCACUUUUUGGUUACAAAAUUUGCAAUGUCUUAAAGGAAUGUUUAUAGUUGUGUUAGUAAUAGUGUUGGAAAAUUAGUGAAGGAAAAAAAAAUGUUUAGGGUAGUAUAAGAACUUAAGCAAUCAGUCGAACACUUGCAACAUAUUGUCAGUUGCAGAGAGGUCCUUGGGCUUGGCAAGCGUGAUAAACACCUUCUGGGGAAUGCGUAAAUGGAGAGGCUUCCUGCGUAAAUUGGGAGACUCCUAAUCAGGAACCCCUGUCCUUGAAGAUUAAGGCCCUCUGAAAAAUACUGAACUAGCUGAAGCUAGGCAGGAGGUAAGAAAGUGCAGACAUAAACCAAAGGCUACAUUCAAAAGUGUAGACAGAGGCUGAGGAAGGCUCUUCUCCAAAAACCGCCAGAGUCUGCUAGAGACCACCAACGAUCCCCAUGUUACAAUUACCCUAAUGAAAUAAUUUGAAACUUAUAAUAUGAUUUUAAUUUCUAGUUAUGUGAGUGGUUAUAGUAUAUAUAGGGUUAUAGUGGCUGUGAGAACAUAGGAUAUGUUAAGGUUCCUAGGAGUAAGUAACUAGACUAGUCAUGAAAAGGUAUACUUUAUGUAUUCUGUUUGCCUCAAAGACUGUGGAAAUCAUUAUGGACUCUGAAUUGAAACAAUAGGUCCCAGAAGAAACUGGGUUUGGUUUGGGAAAUAAGCCAAAGGAUGAAAUGAGGAUGCGCAAGGAUGGGUGUGGUAGUUAGGGUCUUAAGAACAGGCUUGUGCAGUUUGUUAAAAAUCAAUUAGAAACAGUUAAUCUAAUGUUAGUAGAACGUCAACAGCUGCUUUAAGAGCACAACACUGGUAUUAAUCUUUGUUUAAUUUUUAUAUAUGUAAGGUAUGUCCUAUAAUUAACAAGUGUCUUCUCUUUUCUACUUAUUUGUUGCGUAUAAGUUUUUUAUUAUAACCUCUUGAGUUUGUUACGUUUUUAUUAACCUAUUUACAUAUAUUAACAGAAUUUUAGCCAUCUUAGGUGUUACUAACCGAAUGUGCCUUGUAUUUUAUAUUGUUUUUCUACCCAUUUAUUUUGAGCAUAGGGAAGGGGGGAAAUGUGGUAGUUAGGGUCUGGCGGCCGGAAGAUAUCGCGCUGUACGGAAAGGUAGGCCCCCUCUCCCUAUAGUGUUUAGUUUAUGAUGUAAGCAGACGGAAGUGAUGUUGUAAACUCAAGCUAUAUAAGGCUGUGUCAUUCAGUAAUAAAACGCCAUUUGCCGUCCACCACACUGGUGUCUGUGAGCAGAUGGCCCGAGCGGCCGGGGGUUGGCCGCCGUGCCGUUCCUGAACCAGGUCACCACGCCUGCAAUAGGCAACAGAUGGGGUUCAGUCAGUGCACACGGUGAGGAAGACUAUCGACGUGCACCAGAGCACCCCCGUGCAACAUAACCACGCGUGGGUUAGAGACAUUUGCAUAUGAUAACGAUUUCCAGGAAAGAGCAUGAGUACGCUAAUCACUUCUAUCAAUAUAUCCUCUUUUGUUUGAAUAUCAAGGAUUACAAUCAGUAAAGUUGACCAGUGAUUACUUUAGAAUAAGAAUACGGAUAAGGUGAGGUAACUGAUAAAAUCAAUUGUUGUAAAGGUCAAAUUAAAAAGCAUUUAUUCUAUGCAUUUUUAUGUAAAGGAACUUAUGUAACCAUGAAUCGGCUGAAAAGGUGUAUAAAUAUGUUGUGUUUUGUACCUGUUGGAGAACACAUUUUGGUGGAGCUCUCCCCCGUGUUCCCCAGUGCUGGAAUAAAGAAGUGCCUGCUUAUCUA